AGAGUUUGAUCCUGGCUCAGAACGAACGCUGGCGGCAGGCUUAACACAUGCAAGUCGAACGCGUGUAGCAAUACACGAGUGGCGCACGGGUGAGUAACACGUGGAUUAUCUGCCUCUUGGUUCGGAAUAACCCCGGGAAACUGGGGCUAAUACCGAAUGGUUCCUACGGGAUAAAGAUUUAUCGCCAAGAGAUGAGUCCGCGUCCGAUUAGCUAGUUGGUGGGGUAACGGCCUACCAAGGCGACGAUCGGUAGCUGGUCUGAGAGGACGAUCAGCCACACUGGGACUGAGACACGGCCCAGACUCCUACGGGAGGCAGCAGUGGGGAAUAUUGGACAAUGGGGGCAACCCUGAUCCAGCCAUGCCGCGUGAGUGAUGAAGGCCUUCGGGUUGUAAAGCUCUUUUGGCGGGGACGAUGAUGACGGUACCCGCAGAAUAAGCCCCGGCUAACUUCGUGCCAGCCGCCGCGGUAAUUC
Molecule: ribosomal RNA, 475 nt
Filed under: uncultured bacterium
Lineage: Bacteria
Description: bacterial SSU rRNA
Rfam family: Bacterial small subunit ribosomal RNA
Source: RNAcentral